This 492-nucleotide ribosomal RNA is filed under the name uncultured bacterium. RNAcentral's name for it is "partial 16S ribosomal RNA". It matches the Rfam family "Bacterial small subunit ribosomal RNA", at positions 29 to 507 of the family's 1533-position model. The record is from RNAcentral.
AGUGAACGCUGGCGGUAGGCCUAACACAUGCAAGUCGAACGGCAGCACAGUAAGAGCUUGCUCUUACGGGUGGCGAGUGGCGGACGGGUGAGGAAUACAUCGGAAUCUACUUUUUCGUGGGGGAUAACGUAGGGAAACUUACGCUAAUACCGCAUACGACCUACGGGUGAAAGCAGGGGAUCUUCGGACCUUGCGCGAUUGAAUGAGCCGAUGUCGGAUUAGCUAGUUGGCGGGGUAAAGGCACACCAAGGCGACGAUACGUAGCUGGUCUGAGAGGAUGAUCAGCCACACUGGAACUGAGACACGGUCCAGACUCCUACGGGAGGCAGCAGUGGGGAAUAUUGGACAAUGGGCGCAAGCCUGAUCCAGCCAUACCGCGUGGGUGAAGAAGGCCUUCGGGUUGUAAAGCCCUUUUGUUGGGAAAGAAAAGAAGCAGGUUAAUACCCCGCUGUUCUGACGGUACCCAAAGAAUAAGCACCGGCUAACUUCGUG